GACGAACGCUGGCGGCGUGCUUAACACAUGCAAGUCGAACGGAAAGGCCCUGCUUUUGUGGGGUGCUCGAGUGGCGAACGGGUGAGUAACACGUGAGUAACCUGCCCUUGACUUUGGGAUAACUUCAGGAAACUGGGGCUCAUACCGGAUAGGAGCUCCUGCUGCAUGGUGGGGGUUGGAAAGUUUCGGCGGUUGGGGAUGGACUCGCGGCUUAUCCGCUUGUUGGUGGGGUAGUUGCUUACCAAGGCUUUGACGGGUAGCCGGCCUGAGAGGGUGACCGGCCACAUGGGGACUAAGAGACGGACCAGACUGCUACGGGAGGCAGCAGUGGGGAAUAUGGCAGAAUGGGGGGAAGUCUGAUACGACAACGCCGGGUGCGGGAUGACGGCCUACGGGGGAUAAACAGCUGUGGCCGGUGACGAAGCGGGAGUGACGGUAAUGGGUAAGGAAGCACCGGCUAACUACGUG
This 468-nucleotide ribosomal RNA is filed under the name uncultured bacterium. RNAcentral describes it as "partial 16S ribosomal RNA". It matches the Rfam family "Bacterial small subunit ribosomal RNA", at positions 28 to 507 of the family's 1533-position model. The record is from RNAcentral.